AAGACGCUAGUAAAAUAAGACAUUACAUUACUUUGUCAAGGUGAAAUCGUGGGUUAAACUCCCACGCGUCUUG
Molecule: transfer RNA, 73 nt
Filed under: Pseudomyxus capensis (freshwater mullet)
Lineage: Eukaryota; Metazoa; Chordata; Actinopteri; Mugiliformes; Mugilidae
Description: tRNA-Asp
Rfam family: tRNA
About the family: Transfer RNA (tRNA) molecules are approximately 80 nucleotides in length. Their secondary structure includes four short double-helical elements and three loops (D, anti-codon, and T loops).
Source: RNAcentral